RNAcentral lists this unclassified non-coding RNA (1154 nucleotides) under Hevea brasiliensis (rubber tree). Lineage: Eukaryota; Viridiplantae; Streptophyta; Magnoliopsida; Malpighiales; Euphorbiaceae. The record is from RNAcentral.
UCUCAUCAGCUAAAGAUUAUCAUCGGAAACAUAGAGUUUGUGAAAGUCAUUCAAAAUCCCCAAAGGUCACUGUAGCUGGUCUGGAACGCAGGUUUUGCCAGCAGUGUAGCAGGUUCCAUGGACUGUCAGAAUUUGAUGAAAAGAAGCGAAGCUGCCGCAGGCGUCUUUCUGAUCACAAUGCAAGGCGUCGCAAGCCACAGCCUGAAUCAGGCCAAUUGAAUCCUGCAAGGCUGUCAUCAUCCCUAUAUGGUGAGAGGCAACAAACGAGUCUCGUUUGGAACAGGGCCCCACUUAUUCAUUCCAGGCCUAAUGCAAAUUUGACAUGGGAAGGCACAUCCAGCUCUAAGUUCACGAUAACAAAAAAGUGUGUAAUGAAGCCUCUAAAAGUAGGAGGUACUGAUGGGCAGCUGAAUUUGCCUGGUAAUGAGAUGACAACUUCCAUUCCUAUGCAUCCUCAUGAUUCCAAGAGCUUGUUGCCAUCCAAAUCCAAGGUCACCACAGUUGAGGUUCUCAACCAAGGUUUAGAAGAAUCAAUUAUCUCACCCAAUGUGGAUGCGACACAGGAUCUUCAUCGUGCUCUCUCUCUUCUGUCAACCAAUUCUUGGGGUUCAUGUGAGCAAAAAUCCGUUUCACAUGAGCAGCCUGCACACACAAGUGCAAGUCACACAGGCAUGCCACAGUCCGUGCUGCAUGUUAUGUCCCAAGGCAUGCCACUUGCCUCAACCGAUUACUGGAGGACUGNNNNNNNNNNNUCUCGAGAGCAUACCUUGACUGCUCACAAUGAUAGCAGCAGUUACUUUCAAGAGUUCCAGCUGUUAAGAAACCCAUAUGAUAGUGACUUCUACUCUAGUCAGUUGAACUGACUGCUUGAAAUUCAAUCAUUUUCAAAUUGAUAAGUUCACUUGCCAAGUAAGGAUCUUGGCUGUCUUGACCUGUGCUUCAGAUUUCAGAUGAUGGUGAUUUAAAAUUCCAAGAUGAUGUUUUCUCCCAAAUUAUCGUUGAGAAUUGCAAUUUCAAACUUUCCAUUAAUUGCAUGUUAUUGUAAUUGAUGGGAUGAACAUUACUCCUGACAGUGUUUUGGAACUUCUAAAAGUCAGAUGGGAUUGUAACUUAGAUCGUCUUUUUGACAUGCCAAUCUUCGUUGAUAAGUAGAA